UACGUAGGGGUCUAGCGUUGUCCGGAAUUAUUGGGCGUAAAGAGCUCGUAGGCGGUUUGUCGCGUCUGCCGUGAAAGUCCGGGGCUCAACUCCGGAUCUGCGGUGGGUACGGGCAGACUAGAGUGAUGUAGGGGAGACUGGAAUUCCUGGUGUAGCGGUGAAAUGCGCAGAUAUCAGGAGGAACACCGAUGGCGAAGGCAGGUCUCUGGGCAUUAACUGACGCUGAGGAGCGAAAGCAUGGGGAGCGAACAGG
Molecule: ribosomal RNA, 253 nt
Filed under: uncultured bacterium
Lineage: Bacteria
Description: partial 16S ribosomal RNA
Rfam family: Bacterial small subunit ribosomal RNA
Source: RNAcentral